Molecule: long non-coding RNA, 2050 nt
Organism: Brachypodium distachyon (stiff brome)
Lineage: Eukaryota; Viridiplantae; Streptophyta; Magnoliopsida; Poales; Poaceae
Exons: 2
Source: RefSeq, a predicted model, not a curated record
UGUGGGACGGUUGGCGCUGUAACCCGAGAUCACCACGCCAACUUUGUUGCUGCUAUCAAUUGGAGACUCGACUUCGUCGCAGAUGUUGAAGCGGCAGAAGCUCACACCGUCCGUGUUGGCCUGGAGUUUGCUCUCCUUGCUGGGUGUUCUAGAAUCAGCAUCAGCUCGGACUCCUCCGCCGUUGUUGACGCACUCUCGGCUGGCCACCAACCCUAUGGCGCUGCUGCUGCCAUAUAUGAAGACUGCUUCUCCCUCCUAGACGACCUUUUGCAGUUUCACAUUGGCCACUGCCUCCGCGACUCAAACAAAGUUGCCCAUGAACUGGCUCGCGUAGCUAAGUAUCAACUCUAUAAUUCUUGGUAUGAUUCCCCCUGCUUGCAUUGUAUCUUUCAACCUUUAUUACCAAUCAAUAGAGAGAUAUUUUGCUGUCAAAAAAAGCGCUCGCUGCCGAAAGGGAAUCCCCUUUCCUUCGAUCUUCUACAGACCCGUGCGACCACAGGCAAACCUCGGGCAUGGGCGCACGGGACAUGGCGUUGACGCCCAGGCUGCCGCCGCUCUCCCGUCGCUGUUUGGCGAGCGAAGGCGCCGCUGACAUCCGGUCAUCUUCCACUGCCGACUCCCUUCCAAGCAGCUCCCGUGAGAUUUCUUUCCCGUCUACCAAAUUGAUGCUGCUCGAGAUUCAGUGCGGGCACCGGCGACAUCCGGCCUGCUGGAUCGGGAUUGAGGCUGAGAUUGUGCUGCACAUAUGGAGGCGCCCAGCGGCUGUCAAGGUUAGGGAAGCGGACACGACGGCCGGCUGCACGGGGAGGCGCAGAGGAGCGCCGGUGAAGGGGGCCUGGAGGCUAGGCGGUGGCAGCCGGUGAGUCCAGUUGGCAGCCAUACGUGAGGAAGAGGGAUGGGGAUGGGAUCCACGGGAUGAGUGUAACGUGAGAAAAUAUGCAAUUCAAUACUGGGACCAUCCAAACAAGAGGCAGAAUUGGUUUGCUCCACUGAUAUCCCAACUAGUAGGUCCGAGCUGGAGCCGGAGCCGGAGAUAUAUGUGGCUCCUGUUGGUAGUUCGGUACCUUGUCUUUUUCCGGCCGGUCGGAUAUAUAUUUGUAUUUGUAUGGACCGAAUUUUCGACCGAACACCCAAAAAUGAGUUCGCUGUUCCCGUUUACAUCUGCUAGAAAUGCUAUUAGCUUUAGUGCUCUAUUUAUUGGUUAGAGCAUCACUAGCAGGUUUCAUAAAAUUGGUUCCCUAAAACCAGUUUUUGGAUAGGAGAGAGAAAAGAUUUUGAAAAAAAUUGUCUCCAUCUCCAGCAGGUUCCCCCCGCCCGACGCCGUUCCAGCCGCCCGACGCCGACGGCUUCCCUGCUCGGCCGCCGACGCCCCGUCCCCCAGCGUGCCGGCCGUCCUCCCAUACGCCGCUGCUACCUCGACCGCCCCAUGCGCCGCCGCUCCCUCGACCGCCCCUGCCCCCGCGCACAACCACUGGCCGCUGGCGCUUCCUCUGUGCGCUGCCCCUCCCUUCGCGGACCCGCGCUGCUCCCGGCUCUGUGAGUCGCCGGUCCAUCCGCAGGCCGAAGCCGCAAGCCAUCCCCUUCGCGCGUUGCCACGGGCUGGCAAAUCAAAGCUCCAUUGCCGGCAAAUCGAAGCCCACGCGGGGAGGACGCUGGGGAAUGAGACCAGGAGCUCGAGGAAGAGCUGUGGAAGGCACACCUAAGCUCGUAGAUGGCCGCGGCGGCCGAAUCGCCGGCGGCAGGCGGCGUCGGGGGCGCGAUAGGCGGCCGCUCCGGCCCGAUUCAGUGGGGGUCUGUGCUCGGGGAGGAUACCGGAGGCCCGGGUAGGCGGUACAGGCAGGCGGACAUGGCCGACGGCGGAGAUCGACGGUGACGCGGCGAGGUAAUAGCAGCGGGUCGGCGCAGAAUCGGGAUGAAACCGACGGUUUCUUUCCCGCAAGCUCAUUUCUGUGUUUAGGGAAUGAGUGGCUGGUUUCCUACACUAAAUGCCUGUAACUCGUUGCGGAAACUUUUAAUUAACAUAAAAAAUUCUCAAAUUUAAAAACAUAUA